AUAAUGGAGAGUUUGAUCCUGGCUCAGGACGAACGCUGGCGGCGUGCCUAAUACAUGCAAGUCGAGCGGAACCAUUGGAGCUUGCUCCUUUGGUUUAGCGGCGGACGGGUGAGUAACACGUGGGCAACCUGCCCUGCAGAUCGGGAUAACUCCGGGAAACCGGUGCUAAUACCGAAUAGUUUAGGGCCUCUCAUGAGGCUGUACGGAAAGACGGUUUCGGCUGUCACUGCAGGAUGGGCCCGCGGCGCAUUAGCUAGUUGGUGAGGUAACGGCUCACCAAGGCCACGAUGCGUAGCCGACCUGAGAGGGUGAUCGGCCACACUGGGACUGAGACACGGCCCAGACUCCUACGGGAGGCAGCAGUAGGGA
RNAcentral lists this ribosomal RNA (369 nucleotides) under Streptococcus pneumoniae. RNAcentral's name for it is "bacterial SSU rRNA". It matches the Rfam family "Bacterial small subunit ribosomal RNA", at positions 1 to 360 of the family's 1533-position model. Lineage: Bacteria; Bacillati; Bacillota; Bacilli; Lactobacillales; Streptococcaceae. The record is from RNAcentral.